RNAcentral lists this ribosomal RNA (496 nucleotides) under uncultured bacterium. Its description in RNAcentral is "partial 16S ribosomal RNA". It matches the Rfam family "Bacterial small subunit ribosomal RNA", at positions 29 to 507 of the family's 1533-position model. The record is from RNAcentral.
AUGCACGCUGGCGGCGUGCCUAAUCCAUGCCAGUCGAGCGAACGGACGAGAAGCUUGCUUCUCUGAUGUUAGCGGCGGCCGGGUGAGUAACACGUGGAUAACCUACCUAUAAGACUGGGAUAACUUCGGGAAACCGGAGCUAAUACCGGAUAAUAUUUUGAACCGCCUGGUUCAAAAGUGAAAGACGGUCUUGCUGUCACUUAUAGAUGGAUCCGCGCUGCAUUAGCUAGUUGGUAAGGUAACGGCUUACCAAGGCAACGAUGCAUAGCCGACCUGAGAGGGUGAUCGGCCACACUGGAACUGAGACACGGUCCAGACUCCUACGGGAGGCAGCAGUAGGGAAUCUUCCGCAAUGGGCGAAAGCCUGACGGAGCAACGCCGCGUGAGUGAUGAAGGUCUUCGGAUCGUAAAACUCUGUUAUUAGGGAAGAACAUAUGUGUAAGUAACUGUGCACAUCUUGACGGUACCUAAUCAGAAAGCCACGGCUAACUACGUG